Molecule: long non-coding RNA, 953 nt
Filed under: Zostera marina
Lineage: Eukaryota; Viridiplantae; Streptophyta; Magnoliopsida; Alismatales; Zosteraceae
Description: long non-coding RNA (ZMAR_LNC005394)
Source: RNAcentral
GACUUUUAAAUAAUUAAAUAUUUAAAGUUAAACUAUUAUAUAAUAUUUUUAACUUAAUUUUCUAUUAUAUAUUUUACUGUUUUAGAAUUUUACUAAAUUUUUUAUUAAAUAUUUUUGUAUAAUUAUUGUAGUUAAAAAAAUCCCUAUUUGAACCCAACCCCAGACUCGGACCAACUUCAUGAGUCCGGGUCGAAACCAAUUAGCACAGACCGGAUCCAUUUACACCCUUACUUAUUUUACACAAAAAAAAUUGCAUCUCUUGAUUGAUGGGCCCAAGGUCCAGCCCAUGUAUUCUUCAUAUAAUAUUAAUAAAACUUCACAUCCGUCAUUUUUCUGAGGACCUAAACCUAAAGAGUAGUCAUCACGACGGUCGUUGCCAGUGUCUACGACGUCUGCUAUGCUCGACAGAUAUUCUCCGAUGGGCUUGGCUCCCUUUUGCAUGUUGGUGCAACUGUAUUUAUUGUAUCUUUUUUCUUCUAACAGACAGAAAAUCGAAGAAUCAAACAAAUUAAUAAAACUACCUCCACGUAUAGAAGAUGGUAAGUCUAUCAAAUGUUUUAAAAAACAAAACUUUAAACAGAGAAAUAUUUUAAACAGAACUUCCCCACGUAAUGAGUUUUUUACAAUGAUAAAAAAAAAACAGAACUUUCAAAUGAUAAAAAUUGAAACAUAGAGGAUGAUAAAAAUUGAAACAGAACUUUUAGAAUAUAAACUCACCAUUUUUCACCAAGAACAUAAAAGUAAAUCGAAGUAUGUAAUAGAAUUCACCGGAGAGAGGAUUGUGAUUCACCAAGUCUGCCAGAACUCACUGUCCUUACUGCGCUUGCCGGAAGAUGAAGAAGUCGCGGUCGCCGCUGCUGCCUGCCUGCCGGAACGGAAUGCGAGAAAUCGGAACGAUUGGUUUUGGGAGAAAAUAAAAAUCGGAAGGGAGGGUUGGGGUUUAAAGAUUUGGG